RNAcentral lists this non-coding RNA (206 nucleotides) under Bacillota bacterium. RNAcentral's name for it is "Firmicutes bacterium T-box sequence". It matches the Rfam family "T-box leader". Rfam says of the family: Uncharged tRNA acts as the effector for transcription antitermination of genes in the T-box leader family. T-boxes are found upstream of many aminoacyl-tRNA synthetase genes and some amino acid biosynthetic genes usually in Gram-positive bacteria. Lineage: Bacteria; Bacillati; Bacillota. The record is from RNAcentral.
GUAAAACAAAUGAUGCGGAAAAGAGUAUUUUGUGAUCUUUGUCCAGUGAGUAAUGUAAGUGAGAAAUUACCUAAGUAGCAAUUGAAAUGGGUCCGUUGAUGUAGAAUGAGGAAAUGCAUUCUCGCAGAAAACUGCGUUAUCAAAAUUGAGGAUAUAGGCUAUACUAUAUUAAAUAAAGGUGGUACCACGAAUAUUUCGUCCUUUAA